CUUGAUGAUUUGCUCCUCCCCAAAACUAUAAAUCACAUAUAAAGGUGCAUGAUCUGACCCUUGUCUUACCAAGUGUGUACCUUUCUAGAGGCUAAGGUUUUUAUAAAUUUAUAAUUACAAAACACUCUAUCUAGCCUCUUGAAGAUGUAGGCACCUUUUAUUCUACCAUUCUACUUGUGAAUUUGCUUCCAGUAUACUUUAACUAUAUCAAAGCACAGUUAUUUACACAUAAACUAAAAUUCAUUGACUAAUGUUGAAUAAACUCUAGCCCUCCUUACUUUUUAUCAUUAUUUAAUAUCAUAUUGAAAUCUUCACCUACCAUCCAACACGUCUAGUUGUCAUCAACUAAACAUUUCUAUUCCUCCCACGGCUUUAAUUUUUCUAAAGCAUCACAAUUUUAUAGACGAUAUAAUUAAAAAAUAAAUAUUGUACUUCCUAAAUUUCAUGGCUAGAUGUUCUGUACUUGAUCACAUCUUCAGUCCAACUAUCAUCCCAUGUCACCUAGAUUCUUAUGGCAUAAUUACAGUAUGAAUUUUGUAAUCUCAGUCUCCUCUUGUAUUGAUAUAACUCUUGUGGGCCUUGAAAAGGUUCUAUAUGAACUAUGAAAUUGUACUUGUGUCUUCUAUGCAAGUCUAUCAGUCUUUCAAAAGCAUUUUGAGAUUUAACAGGCCUUAUAUUCAAGAAAAUUACUUUCCAAAUCAUGAUAAAGAUCAUCUGAUUUAUCUUUGUUGCUCUUUGUUUUAACUUGAAGAAGGAAUAAAGGCUGAUUUUUAAUUUUAUUAACACCACUCUCCUAAUUUUUAAUUUGUCUUAGGGUCCAAUCCCCAUCCUUUGUACUUAUAUUCUCCUCUAUUUCUUCAUCCUUCUCUGUAUCUCUUCUAUGUUGCUUUUCUUCCUUGGUGAUUUUCUAUAGAUCAGGAAUGAAUUUGUCUUAGUUAUCAUCAAUCUUUACUUGUUUGCCUGAAGAUUUUUUCUUUUUCUCCCCCUUCUUCUUCUCUUGCUUCCCCUCCUUUCUAUUUACUGCACUGUUAUUUCUUUGUGCAUCACCUUCAUUCUCAUUAUUUCCUUAUUUUUCCGUAGUUUGUAACUCAAUUAUAAUAGGCAUGUCCUCAUUUUUCUUUGUAUGAUUGAUUCCUUCUUCUUUGCUCAUUGUGUCACUGUCCUAUGUGCCUUUCUCCUUUUCUUUCAAUGUUUCCUCCACCAAUUUUUUGGAUUUUUAUUUCCCUCUUCACCUUUAGACUGUUUGCCUAGUAUAGCAUAUGUUUCUCCAUUAUUUCCUAAUGCAUCAAACUUGUUACCAAUGCUUACCUCAGUGGUCCCUUGUUGAAUAUUUUUUCUAUUUCAAGUCUGCUCAAACUUUUCUUUCCCAUAUCUUUUCCUUCUCCUGCCUUUUUAUUCUUCUACUCUUUGAAUUGCUCCUACUCCUUAUUUUUUUCAUUCCUAUCUUUUGAUUUUGGUUUUUUUGACCAUCUUAUAUUUUUUCUCCCUUUCUCUCCUUCUCCUUUUCUUCUUCCUCAUCCUCUUCUUUGUCCUUCUUUGGGUAUGAUUCGGGAUAAAUUAUAUAAUACCAUUUCUUACUAUGUCCUUGGAUUCUAUAAUUAGUACAGUACUUUGGUACAUAGUCAUAUUUCAUUCUCACUCACUCUCAUUUAUUUCCCCUAGUUACUUUUUUAACCCUUGAUGUAUCAUGGUUUCAUGGAACUGUUAAUGCUUAAAAUGAUGAAAAUAUUCAAAUACUUAAGCUAUUUUGUUAUAUAUGAUGUGUGUUUUGUCUAUGUUGCAGGAGAAUUAGGUUGGAAAUGUAAGUUGAUCAGAAUAAGAUGAAAAAGGCUCUAAAAAUAAAAGUCAUAGACUAGACUAUGAGUCGUUGCGUGACUCUAUGACUCAUAGCCCAAGUCGUAAGGAUAACUAUAAGGACCACUGAAUCAAGGAUUAAAGUUAAGGAUGGCUACAGCUCAUUGGUUUGAUAAUAAGUCAUAUUGUGGAGUCAAUCUGAGAAAAUUUGUUAAAGUCCUGAAGAUAUACAAGUUGAAGCCCAAGUGAAAAUAAUAGGUGACCACAAGUCGUCAUGAUAGACCAUGACUCGUAAGGAAAAAUUGAGUUGAUAACAGUGAGGAAUGUUUUAAAAAGUGAAAAUCCACUUGAGUGACAACGAGUCUGGCCAAUGACUUGUAUGAUCUUAUAAUGAGUCAUCAUUACUAAGUGUAGAAUAGAGCAAAUGGAACUGACAAUGAGUCAUUGUUAGUCCAAACGACUCAUUUCCUGAGGCA
This 2270-nucleotide long non-coding RNA is filed under the name Capsicum annuum. Its description in RNAcentral is "long non-coding RNA (CANN_LNC002704)". The record is from RNAcentral. Lineage: Eukaryota; Viridiplantae; Streptophyta; Magnoliopsida; Solanales; Solanaceae.